Long non-coding RNA from Oenanthe melanoleuca, 318 nucleotides. RefSeq lists it as uncharacterized. The transcript has 3 exons. Lineage: Eukaryota; Metazoa; Chordata; Aves; Passeriformes; Muscicapidae. The record is from RefSeq and is a predicted model, not a curated record.
AUUUAUAACAAAUUUUGGUGCCGUGACUCGGAUCGAGAUUUUGGAGGGGCUCUCUGCCUGCGGGGAUGCACGCCCCACCAUUUUGGAGGGCCCGGUUGACCCCUUAAAUUUUGUGCACAAAGUCCGGACGAAGACGCAGGACGCGUUCAGCCCGGGGACUGGGUACUGGUCCGAAGUUGGAAGGAAAAUCCGAUAACACCCAAGUGGGAAGGACCUUACCAGGUGUUGCUUACAACAGACACAGCAGUACGCACUGUGGAAAAAGGGUGGACUCACGCAAGCCGAAUCAAGGGACCAGUAGAUCCGUCUAAAUUCACC